CCUACGGGAGGCAGCAGUAGGGAAUCUUUCACAAUGGGCGAAAGCCUGAUGGAGCAACGCCGCGUGCAGGAUGAAGGCCUUCGGGUUGUAAACUGCUUUUAUAAGCGAGAAAUAUGAUGGUAACUUAUGAAUAAGGAUCGGCUAACUACGUGCCAGCAGCCGCGGUAAUACGUAGGUGGCAAGCGUUAUCCGGAUUUACUGGGUGUAAAGGGCGUGUAGGCGGGAGAGCAAGUCAGAUGUGAAAUUCCAGGGCUCAACCCUGGAACUGCAUUUGAAACUGUUUUUCUUGAGUGAUGGAGAGGCAGGCGGAAUUCCGUGUGUAGCGGUGAAAUGCGUAGAUAUACGGAGGAACACCAGUGGCGAAGGCGGCCUGCUGGACAUUAACUGACGCUGAGGCGCGAAAGCGUGGGGAGCAAACAGGAUUAGAUACCCCAGUAGUC
Molecule: ribosomal RNA, 440 nt
Filed under: uncultured bacterium
Lineage: Bacteria
Description: partial 16S ribosomal RNA
Rfam family: Bacterial small subunit ribosomal RNA
Source: RNAcentral